Molecule: ribosomal RNA, 253 nt
Filed under: uncultured bacterium
Lineage: Bacteria
Description: partial 16S ribosomal RNA
Rfam family: Bacterial small subunit ribosomal RNA
Source: RNAcentral
UACAGAGGAGCCAAGCGUUGUCCGGAUUGACUGGGCGUAAAGCGCACGCAGGCGGACGCGCGCGUGGGGUGUGAAAUCUGGCCGCUUAACGGCCAGGCGCCAUCCCAUACGGCGCGUCUGGAGCAAUGCAGAGGUCGGUGGAAUUGCCGGUGUAGUGGUGAAAUGCGUAGAUAUCGAGAGGAACACCUGCGGCGAAGGCGGGUAGCUGGGCCGACACUGACGCUGAGGCGCGAAAGCCAGGGGAGCGAACGGG